RNAcentral lists this ribosomal RNA (172 nucleotides) under uncultured bacterium. RNAcentral's name for it is "partial 16S ribosomal RNA". It matches the Rfam family "Bacterial small subunit ribosomal RNA", at positions 335 to 524 of the family's 1533-position model. The record is from RNAcentral.
ACUCCUACGGGAGGCAGCAGUGGGGAAUUGUUCACAAUGGGCGCAAGCCUGAUGACGCAACGCCGCGUGGAGGAUGACGGCCUUCGGGUUGUAAACUCCUUUUGCGGGGGACGAUGAUGACGGUACCCCGCGAAUAAGGCUCGGCUAACUCUGUGCCAGCAGCCGCGGUAAU